This 1957-nucleotide ribosomal RNA is filed under the name human gut metagenome. RNAcentral's name for it is "bacterial LSU rRNA". It matches the Rfam family "Bacterial large subunit ribosomal RNA", at positions 1 to 1983 of the family's 2925-position model. The record is from RNAcentral.
GAAAGUAAGCAAGGGCAGACGGUGGAUGCCUUGGCUCUCGGAGGCGAUGAAGGACGUGAUAAGCUGCGAUAAGCUUGGGGUAGGUGCAAAUAACCUUUGAUCCCAAGAUUUCCGAAUGGGGCAACCCGGCUGGUAGAAGGCCAGUCAUUCCGUAAGGAAGGCGAACGUGGGGAACUGAAACAUCUAAGUACCCAUAGGAGAAGAAAACAAAAGUGAUUCCGCAAGUAGUGGCGAGCGAACGCGGAACAGCCCAAACCGAUGAUGUUUAGGCAUUGUCGGGGUAGUAGGACCACGUUGUGGCAAGAGAUUAAGGAAGUAGAACGUUUUGGAACAAACGGCCGUAGACGGUGAAAGCCCAGUAUACGACUCUUUAACGAAGCCUAGUGGAAUCCUGAGUAGCGCGGAGCACGAGAAAUUCUGUGUGAAUCAGCGGGGCCCAUCCCGUAAGGCUAAAUACUCCCGAGAGACCGAUAGCGAACCAGUACUGUGAAGGAAAGGUGAAAAGCACCUCGAACAGAGGAGUGAAAUAGUCCCUGAAACCGUCUGCCUACAAGCGGUCGGAGCACAUUAAAGUGUGACGGCGUGCCUUUUGCAUAAUGAACCUACGAGUUACUUUCUCCGGCAAGGUUAAGGGCUUCAGGCCCGGAGCCGAAGCGAAAGCGAGUCUUAAUAGGGCGUGAUAGUCGGAGUGAGUAGACGCGAAACCAAGUGAUCUACCCUUGGUCAGGAUGAAGGUUGGGUAACACCAACUGGAGGUCCGAAUGGGUAUACGUUGAAAAGUGUUCCAAUGAACUGAGGGUAGGGGUGAAAGGCUAAUCAAACUUGGAGAUAGCUCGUACUCCCCGAAAUGCAUUUAGGUGCAGCCUUUAUUUAGUAUAGCAUGAGGUAGAGCGACUGAUUGGAUGCGAGGGCUUCACCGCCUAUCAAGUCCAGAUAAACUCCGAAUGCGUGCUAUAUAUUGAUAAGGAGUGAGGGCGCGGGUGCUAAGGUCCGCGUCCGAGAGGAGAAGAAUCCAGACCAUCAGCUAAGGUCCCCAAAUAACAGUUAAGUUGAACUAACGAAGUCGGACUGCAGAGACAGCUAGGAUGUUGGCUUGGAAGCAGCCAUUCAUUUAAAGAGUGCGUAACAGCUCACUAGUCGAGGAGUCCGGCGUGGAUAAUACUCGGGCAUAAACUGUUUACCGAAGCUAUGGAUGUAGAAAUACAUGGUAGGGGAGCAUUCCAACGGCGUCGAAGGUGAAGGAUGACCUUUGCUGGAGCUUUUGGAAACGCAAAUGUAGGUAUAAGUAACGAUAAAGGAGGUGAGAAACCUCCUCGCCGAAAGACUAAGGUUUCCUGAUCAACGUUAAUCGGAUCAGGGUAAGUCGGGACCUAAGGUUAAGCCGAACGGCGAUACCGAUGGAAGAAUGGUUUAAUAUUCCCAUACUACUUUAUGGAGCGAUGUGGAGACGGAGAAGUGAAAGUCCUGCCAUCUGACGGAAUAGGUGGUUGAAGAGUGUAGAUGUAGAUUCCUGUAGGCAAAUCCGCAGGGAGAGUCGACCUUGACAGUAUGCCGCGUGCUUGCACAAGGCAAAAUGGACGUAAUCAGGCUCCCAAGAAAAUCCGCUAAGCAUAUUCAUAAAGUACCCGUACCGUAAACGGACACACGUAGUUGGGUUGAAAAUACUGAGGCGCUCGAGUGAUUCACGGUUAAGGAACUAGGCAAAUUGACCCUGUAACUUCGGGAUAAAGGGUCCCUACUGAGAGGUAGGGCGCAGAGAAUAGGUCCAGGCAACUGUUUAACAAAAACACAUGGCUGUGCGAAAUAGAAAUAUGAAGUAUACAGCCUGACACCUGCCCGGUGCUGGAAGGUUAAGAGGAGAGCUCAUCGCAAGAGAAGGCUUGAAUUGAAGCCCCAGUAAACGGCGGCCGUAACUAUAACGGUCCUAAGGUAGCGAAAUUCCUUGUCGGGUAAGUUC